ACUCAAUAGAUACCCGGGUAGUCCACGCUGUAAACGAUGGGCACCCAGGUGUGGGGGGUGUCGACUCCCUCCGUGCCGAAAGCUAAACGCAUUAAGCGCCCCGCCUGGGGAGUACGGCCGCAAGGCUAAAACUCAAAGGAAUUGACGGGGGCCCGGCACAAGCAGCGGAGCAUGUGGUUUAAAUUCGACGCAACGCGAAGAACCUUACCUGGGCUUGACAUGUAGGUCAUACCCGUGGAAACACGGGGUCAGUUCGGCUGGACCUUCACAGGUGGUGCAUGGCUGUCGUCAGCUCGUGUCGUGAGAUGUUGGGUUAAGUCCCGCAACGAGCGCAACCCCGUCGCAUGUUGCCAGCAUUUAGUUGGGGACUCAUGCGAGACUGCCGGUGACAAACCGGAGGAAGGUGGGGAUGACGUCAAGUCAUCAUGCCCCUUAUGUCCAGGGCUACACACGUGCUACAUUGGCACGUACAGAGGGCCGCGAUACCGUGAGGUGGAGCGAAUCCCUUAAAGCGUGUCUCGGUUCGGAUUGCAGGCUGAAA
Molecule: ribosomal RNA, 541 nt
Filed under: uncultured bacterium
Lineage: Bacteria
Description: bacterial SSU rRNA
Rfam family: Bacterial small subunit ribosomal RNA
Source: RNAcentral